UGCUUUUCUUAAAUUCUGAGGAAAAAUUCACGUUCAAAUGAAACAGACAAAGAAAAAAGCCUCCUUUGAAGAGCCUCCCGAGGACCAGCAACUCCUGGGAAGUGCUGUUGGUAGGUGGUCUGAUGACAGGAAAGGUUUGCUGGACUGGGAGUAAGAUUGCAAAGUGGAGAUGCAGGAGAGCCUGCUUCAGUUUCGUUUCUGACUCUGACUGACUGUUUCUGGCCAAGUCACUUAACCUGAUGGAUAAAAAGAGAGCAGUGGGUUUAAUCCAUCUUUUGUGGGGCCCUGUGGGAGUGCUUGAGCAAUCAUUUGAUCCAGUUAUGCUCACCAUACUUACCUUCCCAAGGCACUGCAAAGCUCUCCCUGGUGAGAGUUAAGGGCUGGGUGCUAUAAAGUGUGCACUAUUACCUUGGAGCUAAUGUCCUCCCACAGUCAUUCUUUUAGAAAAUAGCAUUUUAAUAAGUAAAUGUAAAAAUAAUCAUCAUAAUGAAAUAUUAAAAGCACUAGUCAAGGUAAAUCCCAAAGCCACAGGGACCAAAUUGUUAACUCUCCUUUAUUGUUCCUUGUCCUGUCUUUAGGAGCCAAUUAUUUUUAUAGUGCAAAGAACAUUUGUGGAGAGCAGACACUGUUAAAAGCUGAAAAUUUACUGUAGCAAUAUUGUGUAGAUUGCCUGUGAGCAAAAGCUGGAGAACAGAUACACUUGUUGAGGGAAAAAUAUCCCCUCCUCUAGUUAUAAGAGUGAUAUAAUUUAAUGUAGCAGUACACACCAUAAUUCAUAGCAUUGUUUGUUCCUGUGCUGUGUCCAGCUGCAAGGAUGGAUGGAACAAAGAUCAAAAGUCGAACCAUCAAAUUCCUGGUGCUGCUGGGGGCUGCCCUGAGGAAGGAGAGGAUUGCCCAGAGUGCAGAAAGGCAAGCAGCUACCUACAGCUCUGUGUUAUGUGUCCCCAACACCACUAUGCUGUAGCACAGCUGUAUGUGUGGAAUAUUCCUUACAAGGCAGCAUGAACAGUGGUGGGUGUCCUCACAUUUCCAGGUGAGUUUAUGUUGUUCACACAUGCCUU
RNAcentral lists this long non-coding RNA (1061 nucleotides) under Cyanistes caeruleus (blue tit). RNAcentral's name for it is "lncRNA (ENSCCEG00000002609.1)". Lineage: Eukaryota; Metazoa; Chordata; Aves; Passeriformes; Paridae. The record is from RNAcentral.